RNAcentral lists this ribosomal RNA (253 nucleotides) under uncultured bacterium. RNAcentral describes it as "partial 16S ribosomal RNA". It matches the Rfam family "Bacterial small subunit ribosomal RNA", at positions 524 to 776 of the family's 1533-position model. The record is from RNAcentral.
UACGUAGGGUGCAAGCGUUAAUCGGAAUUACUGGGCGUAAAGCGUGCGCAGGCGGCUUUGCAAGACAGAUGUGAAAUCCCCGGGCUUAACCUGGGAACUGCAUUUGUGACUGCAUGGCUGGAGUGCGGCAGAGGGGGAUGGAAUUCCGCGUGUAGCAGUGAAAUGCGUAGAUAUGCGGAGGAACACCGAUGGCGAAGGCAGCCCCCUGGGCCAAUACUGACGCUCAGGCACGAAAGCGUGGGGAGCAAACAGG